CCUACGGGAGGCAGCAGUGAGGAAUUUUCGGCAAUGGGCGCAAGCCUGACCGAGCAACGCCGCGUGCAGGACGAAGGUCUUCGGAUCGUAAACUGCUUUUACCGGGGAAGAGUAAGGACGGUACCCGGUGAAUAAGCUCCGGCUAACUACGUGCCAGCAGCCGCGGUAAU
RNAcentral lists this ribosomal RNA (170 nucleotides) under uncultured bacterium. RNAcentral's name for it is "partial 16S ribosomal RNA". It matches the Rfam family "Bacterial small subunit ribosomal RNA", at positions 338 to 524 of the family's 1533-position model. The record is from RNAcentral.